CCGGGGUUAGUGGCGCACGGGUGCGUAACGCGUGGGAAUCUGCCCUUUGGUUCGGAAUAACUCAGGGAAACUUGAGCUAAUACCGGAUGAUGACUUCGGUCCAAAGAUUUAUCGCCAAAGGAUGAGCCCGCGUAGGAUUAGCUAGUUGGUGAGGUAAAAGCUCACCAAGGCGACGAUCCUUAGCUGGUCUGAGAGGAUGAUCAGCCACACUGGGACUGAGACACGGCCCAG
Molecule: ribosomal RNA, 231 nt
Filed under: uncultured bacterium
Lineage: Bacteria
Description: partial 16S ribosomal RNA
Rfam family: Bacterial small subunit ribosomal RNA
Source: RNAcentral